AAAAGGAUGCCCAUUCCUCUGGGACAGUGUGGGUCUGCCCCACAGCACAAGCCUGGCAGGCCAAGUGCACACUCUUAACCUGGUGAUAUCUUGCGCUGUACCCAGCAGCCCUGGAGAAGUGUAAAACUCUGCAAAAAGAAGUUUGACUCAAAUAGCAAACCAGUGAUGAUUAUGGAUGAGAUUCAGAUGAUAAUCAAUUAAGAAGCCCUGAUGCUCAAGAGAACAAAGCGGGUGAAAUGAUAUCUGGCUUCAAUGCUUACAUUCCUUCCACUAUGCUUGCUGCUCUCUAAAUCUGGAAGGGUUUGUGAGAAGUUACAAAUUAGUCCCAGAAUGUGCCAAGACUAUCUCUAUGGGAUGCAGCCUGGUAUAAAUCUUUCAGUGGCUUCACCAGAACCAAACAGUUCGGACUGUUGUAGUCAGAUUAUCAUGUGAAGCAAGGUCAGCCAGAGGGCUACCAUGGAAGAAGGUUAGACUAUGCCCCUCUUCCUUUCCUGGGUAAUGUGGGAUUUAAGGACUGUUUAAGACCCCUUUAUUCAUCUCCUUAUAGAACUGGAGACCAUCAUUAUUACCCUUAUGGUCUAUGUACAGUGAAAAACAGAGCUAUCCUCUUGGGACUGUCAGAGCCACUCUUGUUACUGAAUUUCCCUCUUUCUGUACAAGGGAGGAAGAAUCCUCCAGUGUGUGGCAGACAUCCUUGGAGGCAUUCUGUCCAUCAUUGUUGUGGUCCAUGUACUGUGGCUAGUCCAUCACUCAGUCUUAGGAUAACCAAAUUCAAAGCCACAUGAGCCAUCAAACCAUCUGUGUAUUUAAGCAGGGUAUGUGUGAAUGUGCUACAGUCCACUUUUGGGGCUAAAUUUCAGUAUGAAAUGCUGCCUUAUGAAUAGACUGGAUUACAUAAGUUGUCACCCAAAUGUAUAUUCAUUAACCAACCAAUUAGUUUUAUUAUGGUAAACCUAUAAAGUCUGUUCAGAAAA
This is a long non-coding RNA of Odocoileus virginianus texanus, 974 nucleotides long. RefSeq lists it as uncharacterized. Lineage: Eukaryota; Metazoa; Chordata; Mammalia; Artiodactyla; Cervidae. The record is from RefSeq and is a predicted model, not a curated record.